RNAcentral lists this ribosomal RNA (253 nucleotides) under uncultured prokaryote. Its description in RNAcentral is "partial 16S ribosomal RNA". It matches the Rfam family "Bacterial small subunit ribosomal RNA", at positions 524 to 776 of the family's 1533-position model. The record is from RNAcentral.
UACGUAGGUGGCAAGCGUUGUCCGGAUUUAUUGGGUUUAAAGGGUGCGUAGGUGGCCCUGUAAGUCAGUGGUGAAAUAUCCCGGCUUAACCGGGAGGGUGGCAUUGAUACUGUAGGACUUGAGUAAAGCUGAGGUAGGCGGAAUUGACGGUGUAGCGGUGAAAUGCUUAGAUAUCGUCAAGAACACCGAUAGUGAAGACAGCUUACUAGGCUUCUACUGACGCUGAGGCACGAAAGUGUGGGGAUCAAACAGG